GAAAUACUAGUGAGUUAACGAGUAAUAAGGAAUGUUGCUAAGACAUGUCCUUAUGUUGUAAACCUAACCUAAACCUUUAUUCUUCAUUUACAUCUCUAAUGUACAAUUUCCCUCGUUAAACGACAUCUUGUACAUUAGCCUGGGUUUUGUCGUCCUGGUUCCAGGUAAAAUAAAACGGUGUCGUCGAGCACCUUUGACAGGAUAUUCUCGUUAACUCUUAUUUUU
RNAcentral lists this non-coding RNA (225 nucleotides) under Melipona quadrifasciata. Lineage: Eukaryota; Metazoa; Arthropoda; Insecta; Hymenoptera; Apidae. The record is from RNAcentral.